UACAGAGGAGCCAAGCGUUGUCCGGAUUGACUGGGCGUAAAGCGCACGCAGGCGGUCUGGCGCGUGGGGUGUGAAAUCUGGCCGCUUAACGGCCAGGCGCCAUCCCAUACGGCUAGACUGGAGGGCUGCAGAGGUCGAUGGAAUUGCCGGUGUAGUGGUGAAAUGCGUAGAGAUCGGCAGGAACACCCAGGGGGAAACCAGUCGACUGGGCAGCACCUGACGCUGAGGUGCGAGAGCGUGGGGAGCGAACAGG
This 253-nucleotide ribosomal RNA is filed under the name uncultured bacterium. RNAcentral's name for it is "partial 16S ribosomal RNA". It matches the Rfam family "Bacterial small subunit ribosomal RNA", at positions 524 to 776 of the family's 1533-position model. The record is from RNAcentral.